Molecule: non-coding RNA, 320 nt
Organism: Cavia porcellus (domestic guinea pig)
Lineage: Eukaryota; Metazoa; Chordata; Mammalia; Rodentia; Caviidae
Rfam family: 7SK RNA
About the family: 7SK was discovered as an abundant small nuclear RNA in the mid-70s but a possible function has only recently been suggested. Two independent studies have found that 7SK RNA binds the CDK9/cyclin T complex (known as elongation factor P-TEFb).
Source: Rfam
GGAUGUGAGGGCAAUCUGACUGUGACAUCUGAUGCCCCGUUGUUCACCAGCAUUGAUUGGCUGAUCUGGCUGGCUAAGCAGGGUUCUUUUCCUCACUCAUUGCUCUUUGUGUGUUUUUUCCUGAAACUGGGUACUUGGUCAAAGAGGAGCACUGAUAGAGGAGGACCAUUUCCUUGGUCAUGAGUAUCUGAGUGGCUGUAGUCCUCUAGUAGCUAAAACCUCCAAAGAAGCUCCUAAAUAUCAAUGUCUUUGUGGAGGUUUUCAUAGAGUACUUCAUUCUAUACAUAAUAAUAUAGUAUUGUUCCUAUGUACUACAAUAA